UGCCCACCAGCUAGCCCACAACUACAACAGCAACUUGUAAGUAUAGAUAAUCCAAAAUGUACUAACAUUCACCUAGACAAACCAUUUUUCCCCCUUAGUAUAGGCGAUAGAAAAGAAAAUAGGAGCUAUAGAGAUAGUACCGCAAGGGAAUGCUGAAAGAGAAAUGAAAUAAACCAGUGAAGCCCCCAAAAGCAGAGAUUUUCCCUCGUACCUUUUGCAUCAUGAUUUAGCCAGCGUGCUCAAGCAAAGCGAAUUUUAGUUUGAUACCCCGAAACCAAGUGAGCUACUUCAAGACAGCCUAUUUAUAGGGCAAACCCGUCUCUGUGGCAAAAGAGUGGGAAGAUCUUCAAGUAGAGGUGACAGACCUACCGAACUUUGUUAUAGCUGGUUGCCCGGGAAUUGAAUAGAAGUUCAGCCUACUAGAUUCUUACCUAAACCCAGUACUACACUCGUGAUAGAAUAAGAAGCUAGAAGAGUUAGUCAAAGGGGGUACAGCCCCUUUGAACCAAGAUACAGCUUUUAUGGGAGACUCAAGAUCCUA
Molecule: ribosomal RNA, 541 nt
Filed under: Scorpaenopsis macrochir
Lineage: Eukaryota; Metazoa; Chordata; Actinopteri; Perciformes; Scorpaenidae
Description: partial 16S large subunit ribosomal RNA
Rfam family: Bacterial large subunit ribosomal RNA
Source: RNAcentral